AUGGAUAAAUCUCAAUGUUACAACACAGAAGAAAGAAACCACUACAAUAGCAACUUGCUCAAGUCCAUGGCGGCCGCCGCGAAGCAUGGAGGAAUAGAGCACCACCAGGCCACCACGGCGAGGAAGCAGCAGCACGUUGGCUUCCCGAGGCUGUCCACCUCCAGCAAGGCGCUCGUCCCGCUGCCCCACCUGCUCCUCUUCGUGUACCCCAAGGAGUUCGAGUUGCAGUCGCUCAUGAAUUAUGUUCAUGCGGGACAGGCACGAAGGGGUUCGACUCUUGAUUUGGCGGCGGCCUUCAUUUGGGGGCUCAGCCGCAAGGCUGCGGGGUGA
This 330-nucleotide ribosomal RNA is filed under the name Triticum aestivum (bread wheat). RNAcentral's name for it is "partial small subunit ribosomal RNA". The record is from RNAcentral. Lineage: Eukaryota; Viridiplantae; Streptophyta; Magnoliopsida; Poales; Poaceae.